CCUACGGGCGGCAGCAGUGGGGAAUAUUGCACAAUGGGCGCAAGCCUGAUGCAGCCAUGCCGCGUGUGUGAAGAAGGCCUUCGGGUUGUAAAGCACUUUCAGCGGGGAGGAAGGCGGUGAGGUUAAUAACCUCAUCGAUUGACGUUACCCGCAGAAGAAGCACCGGCUAACUCCGUGCCAGCAGCCGCGGUAAUACGGAGGGUGCAAGCGUUAAUCGGAAUUACUGGGCGUAAAGCGCACGCAGGCGGUCUGUCAAGUCGGAUGUGAAAUCCCCGGGCUCAACCUGGGAACUGCAUUCGAAACUGGCAGGCUAGAGUCUUGUAGAGGGGGGUAGAAUUCCAGGUGUAGCGGUGAAAUGCGUAGAGAUCUGGAGGAAUACCGGUGGCGAAGGCGGCCCCCUGGACAAAGACUGACACUCAGGUGCGAAAGCGUGGGGAGCAAACAGGAUUAGAUACCCUAGUAGUC
This 465-nucleotide ribosomal RNA is filed under the name uncultured Klebsiella sp. RNAcentral's name for it is "bacterial SSU rRNA". It matches the Rfam family "Bacterial small subunit ribosomal RNA", at positions 338 to 795 of the family's 1533-position model. Lineage: Bacteria; Pseudomonadati; Pseudomonadota; Gammaproteobacteria; Enterobacterales; Enterobacteriaceae. The record is from RNAcentral.